GGCCUCUCAGAAAUUCUAACCUCACAACUAAUUGAUCACAACCAGUUACAGAUUUCUUUGUUCCUUCUCCACUCUACUGCUUCACUUGACUAGCCUUUA
Molecule: small RNA, 99 nt
Filed under: Cavia porcellus (domestic guinea pig)
Lineage: Eukaryota; Metazoa; Chordata; Mammalia; Rodentia; Caviidae
Description: Y RNA (ENSCPOG00000028678.2)
Source: RNAcentral